GGCACAGUAUUGCAGAUCAUAUUGUUCGUGUGCGCGCGUUUUUCAGUCGUUGCACAAAGAAAAUAUUCAACCAAGAUUACAUAUGAAGACUACAUUCUAUGACAGGUGCGUUGACCUAUACACAUCGUGUCGUUAUUACAGUUCAUAUUCAUCCGCUGCACAAUAAUUUUUUACAUAUCAGACGUGACCGGUCGAGUAAUUGGUCCAUGUGCAGUUCGUUUUUUACAUUCCGUGGAAGCUUGGUUGCAGAACCUCGGACGGCACAUAGCUGGCGUCGAUCCUUGGACAAUC
Molecule: long non-coding RNA, 291 nt
Organism: Schistocerca serialis cubense
Lineage: Eukaryota; Metazoa; Arthropoda; Insecta; Orthoptera; Acrididae
Exons: 3
Source: RefSeq, a predicted model, not a curated record